ACACGUGGGGAACCUGCCCCAUAGUCUGGGAUACCACUUGGAAACAGGUGCUAAUACCGGAUAAGAAAGCAGAUCGCAUGAUCAGCUUAUAAAAGGCGGCGUAAGCUGUCGCUAUGGGAUGGCCCCGCGGUGCAUUAGCUAGUUGGUAAGGUAACGGCUUACCAAGGCAAUGAUGCAUAGCCGAGUUGAGAGACUGAUCGGCCACAUUGGGACUGAGACACGGCCCAAACUCCUACGGGAGGCAUCAGUAGGGAAUCUUCCACAAUGGACGCAAGUCUGAUGGAGCAACGCCGCGUGAGUGAAGAAGGUUUUCGGAUCGUAAAGCUCUGUUGUUGGUGAAGAAGGAUAGAGGUAGUAACUGGCCUUUAUUUGACGGUAAUCAACCAGAAAGUCACGGCUAACUAC
This 405-nucleotide ribosomal RNA is filed under the name Lactobacillus helveticus. RNAcentral's name for it is "bacterial SSU rRNA". It matches the Rfam family "Bacterial small subunit ribosomal RNA", at positions 113 to 504 of the family's 1533-position model. Lineage: Bacteria; Bacillati; Bacillota; Bacilli; Lactobacillales; Lactobacillaceae. The record is from RNAcentral.